RNAcentral lists this ribosomal RNA (110 nucleotides) under Acidobacteriota bacterium. RNAcentral describes it as "partial 16S ribosomal RNA". It matches the Rfam family "Bacterial small subunit ribosomal RNA", at positions 1 to 107 of the family's 1533-position model. Lineage: Bacteria; Pseudomonadati; Acidobacteriota. The record is from RNAcentral.
UUUAACGAGAGUUUGAUCCUGGCUCAGAAUCAACGCUGGCGGCGUGCCUCAGACAUGCAAGUCGAACGAUUAAACUUUCCUUCGGGAAAGAUAUAAAGUGGCGCACGGGU